GGCAGGAGCUUGCGUUCAGGCUCUCGAUACGUCUAUGGUAUGGCGUCAGACUUAGCCCACAGCAGGGUAAGGAAUCGUUACGGAUCUGCGCACAGAGCGGAUCCACAAUAACGCAAGCA
This 119-nucleotide small RNA is filed under the name unclassified sequences. RNAcentral's name for it is "DUF3268 RNA". It matches the Rfam family "DUF3268 RNA". The record is from Rfam by way of RNAcentral.